RNAcentral lists this ribosomal RNA (253 nucleotides) under uncultured bacterium. Its description in RNAcentral is "partial 16S ribosomal RNA". It matches the Rfam family "Archaeal small subunit ribosomal RNA", at positions 474 to 727 of the family's 1478-position model. The record is from RNAcentral.
UACCAGCACCCCGAGUGGUCGGGACGUUUAUUGGGCCUAAAGCAUCCGUAGCCGGUUCUGCAAGUCUUCCGUUAAAUCCACCUGCUUAACAGAUGGGCUGCGGAAGAUACUAUAGAGCUAGGAGGCGGGAGAGGCAAGCGGUACUCGAUGGGUAGGGGUAAAAUCCGUUGAUAUCAUGGGGAACACCAAAAGCGAAGGCAGUACAUUGGGCCACUCCUGACACUGAAACACGAAAGCGUGGGUAGCGAAUGGG